This is a long non-coding RNA of Formica exsecta, 765 nucleotides long. RefSeq lists it as uncharacterized. The transcript has 3 exons. Lineage: Eukaryota; Metazoa; Arthropoda; Insecta; Hymenoptera; Formicidae. The record is from RefSeq and is a predicted model, not a curated record.
AAUAUUUUUCAAUCCAUGAAAACUUUAUUCAAGCACUUGAACAUUGUUGGGCUGUCGACGGGGCCCUUGGGUGUAAUCAACGUCACUGAGGCAAAAGCUUCCCGAAGCUUCUAAAUUCGCGUAAACAAUUUUUUUGCGCGAUAGCACGAUAUUGCCUUAUUAGGCAAUAUCGGGGAUGUCAAGGGUCCCUCCGCGAGGAAACCGAAAUUCCUUCGCGCGGCCUGCGAUGAAUCGAGUCUCGAACGUUGAGAGAGUAAGUCGGUGCAAAAUUUUGUGAGAAUUUAGAAGCGAGAAUAAAGUAGUGAUCGUUUAUUAUUGAUCAGUAUAAUUAGCGGACACGAACCAGACAAUUCUUAAUAUUACAACAUUUUUAUGUACAAUUUGUGCGUGAGUGUACGCGCGUGUGUAUGUGAAUAUAUUAGACUAAUUGUAAGCUGUGCAUCUGAGGGCCCUCUCGCACGACAAACGACCCCUACGAGAGAUUUUUAAGCGCUAACUUUUUAAGGAAGCAUUUUUCGACUCAUAUUUAUAGGAAACUUUUUGUUCAGAAUUAAAUUUCCUAUAAAAUCUCCAAGUCUGGUCGAAAUGUUUGGGUUCAUCCUGUAUAUACAAAUACAACAUGUUUUCACGGAUAAACUUUGAAUUUAAUAUAAAAUUAAAUAACAAAAAGAAUCAUGUUCCGUUCAAGAAAAAACAGUUAUAACGGUGCGUUCAGUCGAGAGAGGCCUCUUAUAUAUUGUUUAUACAUAUCGUUAAAAAAAUAUU